RNAcentral lists this ribosomal RNA (253 nucleotides) under uncultured bacterium. RNAcentral's name for it is "partial 16S ribosomal RNA". It matches the Rfam family "Bacterial small subunit ribosomal RNA", at positions 524 to 776 of the family's 1533-position model. The record is from RNAcentral.
UACGUAGGGUGCAAGCGUUGUCCGGAAUUAUUGGGCGUAAAGGGCUCGUAGGCGGUCUGUCGCGUCGGGUGUGAAAACCCGGGGCUUAACCCCGGGCCUGCAUUCGAUACGGGCAGACUAGAGUGCUGUAGGGGAGACUGGAAUUCCUGGUGUAGCGGUGAAAUGCGCAGAUAUCAGGAGGAACACCGGUGGCGAAGGCGGGUCUCUGGGCAGUAACUGACGCUGAGGAGCGAAAGCGUGGGGAGCAAACAGG